ACGCAUGAUGAGACCAGGAUUAUAGGAAGUGCCGUCAGAUGCGAUAACUGACGAUAGAUAUUCCUGCUGACA
Molecule: small nucleolar RNA, 72 nt
Organism: Hyla sarda
Lineage: Eukaryota; Metazoa; Chordata; Amphibia; Anura; Hylidae
Product: small nucleolar RNA SNORD49
Exons: 1
Source: RefSeq, a predicted model, not a curated record